RNAcentral lists this long non-coding RNA (412 nucleotides) under Monodelphis domestica (gray short-tailed opossum). Its description in RNAcentral is "lncRNA (ENSMODG00000041465.1)". Lineage: Eukaryota; Metazoa; Chordata; Mammalia; Didelphimorphia; Didelphidae. The record is from RNAcentral.
GGGGUAAGGGCCCAACUGGGAGUGGCAGUUGGGUCUUGUGACUAGCACUUCCUUCCUGCCAGGUGGGACUUGCUUCCUGGUGUUGGAGGAGAGAGGAGCUUGUUCAGCCCAGUCUGGUGUGGUGUGACGCCUCUUUCUUGGUUCAGCCUGAAGAUUCAAGCCCAAUCUCUUCUGAAGGGAGAGACACAAAAGCAUCAUGAAAUACUAUUUUGCAUUAAGAAAUGACAAGCAGGAGGAUUUGAGAAAAACCUGGAAAGACUUAUGUGAACUCAUGCAAAGUAAAAAUGAAAGAAUUCCACCCAGAUGGGACCUGAUGGUUACUUUCUUCCUAAAAUCUGACUGAGAAGCUAAGUGAAUCAAUGUCAUAACUUUAUGGUAAAAGCUGAUUGCUCACCAACUCUCUCUGUCAGAG